GAUAAUCGGUACGGGUUGUGAGAGCAAGAGCCCGGAGACGGAAUCUGAGACAAGAUUCCGGGCCNUACGGGGCGCAGCAGGCGCGAAACCUUUACACUGCACGCAAGUGCGUAAGGGGACCCCAAGUGCGAGGGCAUAUAGUCCUCGCUUUUCUCGACUGUAAGGCGGUCGNGGAAUAAG
Molecule: ribosomal RNA, 180 nt
Filed under: Haloferax sp. LWp2.1
Lineage: Archaea; Methanobacteriati; Methanobacteriota; Halobacteria; Halobacteriales; Haloferacaceae
Description: partial 16S ribosomal RNA
Rfam family: Archaeal small subunit ribosomal RNA
Source: RNAcentral